UUAGGUCUUCCAGUCUUGCACAA
RNAcentral lists this non-coding RNA (23 nucleotides) under Mus musculus (house mouse). The record is from RNAcentral. Lineage: Eukaryota; Metazoa; Chordata; Mammalia; Rodentia; Muridae.